UAUUGGACAAUGGGCGCAAGCCUGAUCCAGCAAUACCGCGUGUGUGAAGAAGGCCUUAGGGUCGUAAAGCACUUUCAAUUGGGAGGAAAACCUGCCGGUCAAUACCCGGUAGCUUGACAUUACCUUUAGAAGAAGCACCGGCUAACUCCGUGCCAGCAGCCGCGGUAAUACGGAGGGUGCGAGCGUUAAUCGGAAUUACUGGGCGUAAAGCGUGCGUAGGCGGUUCGUUAAGUCAGAUGUGAAAGCCCUGGGCUCAACCUGGGAACUGCAUUUGAAACUGGCGGACUAGAGUUUAGUAGAGGGGAGUGGAAUUUCAGGUGUAGCGGUGAAAUGCGUAGAUAUCUGAAGGAACACCAGUGGCGAAGGCGACUCCCUGGACUAGAACUGACGCUGAGUACGAAA
Molecule: ribosomal RNA, 402 nt
Filed under: uncultured bacterium
Lineage: Bacteria
Description: bacterial SSU rRNA
Rfam family: Bacterial small subunit ribosomal RNA
Source: RNAcentral